UGACUAAUAGUAAGCAAAAUU
RNAcentral lists this non-coding RNA (21 nucleotides) under Caenorhabditis elegans. Lineage: Eukaryota; Metazoa; Nematoda; Chromadorea; Rhabditida; Rhabditidae. The record is from RNAcentral.